This 320-nucleotide ribosomal RNA is filed under the name uncultured Comamonadaceae bacterium. Its description in RNAcentral is "bacterial SSU rRNA". It matches the Rfam family "Bacterial small subunit ribosomal RNA", at positions 1053 to 1382 of the family's 1533-position model. The record is from RNAcentral. Lineage: Bacteria; Pseudomonadati; Pseudomonadota; Betaproteobacteria; Burkholderiales; Comamonadaceae.
CGUCAGCUCGUGUCGUGAGAUGUUGGGUUAAGUCCCGCAACGAGCGCAACCCUGUCAUUAGUUGCUACGAAAGGGCACUCUAAUGAGACUGCCGGUGACAAACCGGAGGAAGUGGGGAUGACGUCAAGUCCUCAUGGCCCUUAUAGGUGGGGCUACACACGUCAUACAAUGGCCGGUACAAAGGGUCGCAAACCCGCAGGGGGAGCUAAUCCAUCAAAGCCGGUCGUAGUCCGGAUCGCAGUCCGCAACUCGACUGCGUGAAGUCGGAAUCGCUAGUAAUCGUGGAUCAGCAUGUCACGGUGAAUACGUUCCCGGGUCUU